UAGAAUCGUUGAAAAUGUGAC
This 21-nucleotide non-coding RNA is filed under the name Rattus norvegicus (Norway rat). Lineage: Eukaryota; Metazoa; Chordata; Mammalia; Rodentia; Muridae. The record is from RNAcentral.